UACGAAGGGGGCGAGCGUUGUUCGGAUUUACUGGGCGUAAAGGGCGCGUAGGCGGCCCUCCUUGUCGCGUGUGAAAGCCCCGGGCUCAACCUGGGAAUUGCGCGCGAUACUGGGAGGCUUGAAUCCGGGAGAGGGAUGUGGAAUUCCAGGUGUAGCGGUGAAAUGCGUAGAUAUCAGGAGGAACACCUAUUGCGAAGGCAGCUCGCUGGGACGUAACUGACGCUGAGACGCGAAAGCGUGGGGAGCGAACCGG
Molecule: ribosomal RNA, 253 nt
Filed under: uncultured bacterium
Lineage: Bacteria
Description: partial 16S ribosomal RNA
Rfam family: Bacterial small subunit ribosomal RNA
Source: RNAcentral